Molecule: non-coding RNA, 24 nt
Filed under: Arabidopsis thaliana (thale cress)
Lineage: Eukaryota; Viridiplantae; Streptophyta; Magnoliopsida; Brassicales; Brassicaceae
Source: RNAcentral
CACGGGUGAAGAGGUGUCUCGGCC